This is a long non-coding RNA of Rhipicephalus microplus (southern cattle tick), 245 nucleotides long. NCBI's taxonomy places the organism in Eukaryota, Metazoa, Arthropoda, Arachnida, Ixodida, Ixodidae. The record is from RefSeq and is a predicted model, not a curated record.
UGCACUCAGCGAAACAAGAUUACAAACCUAUGCAUGGAAGGAGACAGUCUCACUUGGCAAACUUUUCUGGACCUGAUUAACUUGAUAAGGUGUGUCUACUUCAGCAUCAUACCUACCCUUCCAUUUCCGGAGUAUUGAGAAAGGUGCGACCUCGAAGGACGCACAAUGCAUCGUACCUUGCGCACCUGUAACCAUACCCACCUGUUUGUUUCCAAAGUAAAUAAAGUGCACAAAAUGCAACGAUU